GCUUGUCUCAAAGAUUAAGCCAUGCAUGUCUUAGUGUAAAUAACUCUUAUGAAACUGCGAAUGGCUCAUUAAAUCAGUUAUCGUUUAUUUGAUGGUCCCUUACUACAUGGAUAACCGUAGUAAUUCUAGAGCUAAUACAUGCACAAAGGCCCGACUCACGAAGGGCUGUAUUUAUUAGAUAAAAAACCAAUGCCCCUCGGGGCUCCUUGGUGAAUCAUAAUAACUUAACGAAUCGCAUGGCCUUGCGCCGGCGAUGGUUCAUUCAAAUUUCUGCCCUAUCAACUUUCGAUGGUAGGAUAGUGGCCUACCAUGGUGGCAACGGGUAACGGGGAAUUAGGGUUCGAUUCCGGAGAGGGAGCCUGAGAAACGGCUACCACAUCCAAGGAAGGCAGCAGG
RNAcentral lists this ribosomal RNA (396 nucleotides) under Penicillium sacculum. RNAcentral's name for it is "partial small subunit ribosomal RNA". It matches the Rfam family "Eukaryotic small subunit ribosomal RNA", at positions 30 to 432 of the family's 1831-position model. Lineage: Eukaryota; Fungi; Ascomycota; Eurotiomycetes; Eurotiales; Aspergillaceae. The record is from RNAcentral.